AACGCGAAGAACCUUACCUAGGCUCGAACGGCUGGUCAACGGCGGUGGAAACAUCGCUACCCCGCAAGGGGGUCCAGUCGAGGUGCUGCAUGGCUGUCGUCAGCUCGUGUCGUGAGAUGUUGGGUUAAGUCCCGCAACGAGCGCAACCCUUGUCCUGUGUUGCCAUACCGAAAGGUGGAACUCGCAGGAGACCGCCAGCGAUAAGCUGGAGGAAGGUGGGGAUGACGUCAAGUCCUCAUGGCCUUUAUGUCUAGGGCUACACACGUGCUACAAUGGACGGUACAAAGCGUCGCUAACCCGCGAGGGGGAGCCAAUCGCAAAAAACCGUCCCAGUUCAGAUUGCACUCUGCAACUCGGGUGCAUGAAGGUGGAAUCGCUAGUAAUCGCAGAACAGCAGGCUGCGGUGAAUACGUUCCCGGGUCUUGUACACACGC
Molecule: ribosomal RNA, 434 nt
Filed under: uncultured Acidobacteriota bacterium
Lineage: Bacteria; Pseudomonadati; Acidobacteriota
Description: bacterial SSU rRNA
Rfam family: Bacterial small subunit ribosomal RNA
Source: RNAcentral